RNAcentral lists this long non-coding RNA (916 nucleotides) under Phoenix dactylifera (date palm). Its description in RNAcentral is "long non-coding RNA (PDAC_LNC017075)". The record is from RNAcentral. Lineage: Eukaryota; Viridiplantae; Streptophyta; Magnoliopsida; Arecales; Arecaceae.
AGAUCAAGAAUGAUAUGGAGGGAGGUGGUGAGAUCACCGUAUUUAGUUGUACCAUAGUGAUCCUACGUGGCAGUGAUUCUAAAUCACCUCCACUCCUCAAAUCACCGCCCAACUCGGUGAUGAAAUUUCCGUCCUUGAGGUCGGAAAUCCAAGAUCACCCCAGAGUAGUAAUCCUGGAUUAAAAGUUAAAGACAAAAAUACCCCUCAAUUUAGCAGAAAAAUUAAUAUAUUAUUAUAUUAAUGAUAUAUGUAUUAUAUUAUAAUAUACUACUAAUCAUAUUAUUAUACUAUUAUUAUUGAAGGAUAAUUUUAAAUUAUAGUAGAAAUAUAUUAUUAUAUUUUAUAUUUAUAUAAUGAAAAUAUUUUAUAUAUUACUCCUAUUUACCUUAUUUUCCUAAUCAAAAUAAUUAUUAGUAUUAAAAAAUCUAUCAUAAGUGUAAAUAAAAAUAUUAAUUCUGUAAUAAAAAAUAACAUAUUUUUAUAAGAUUCAUAAUUUAUAGGAGUAAUAAAUAUAUUUUUAUAGAAUAUAUUAAUAAUUAAUAUAUUGAUAAAUAUAUUAAUAUUUUAUUAUAAUAUAUUUUAUAUGAUUAAUAAAUAUAUGAUAAGGGCUACUAAAAGUAGAAUAUGUGACAAAAUUAUGGAGCUAUUAUAGGAAUUAACAUAUUGACUUACAUUUUUAAUUCAUGAGAAUUAAAAACACAUAAAAAAAUCCAUCUAAGAUAUAUCAGGGGUAUUUGUGGUAUUAUGUGGUUGGUGAUCUUGGAUCUCCAUACCAUACCAAACAAGUUACUCAUGGAUACUCGGAGAUUUUUAAUCACUGGACCAUGGCCUACCAAAUACAUUAAUCUUAGAUCACUGGGGAUCAAAUCACCCCAGCAUUCGGAUCACCGGGAUCAUAGAUCACCGUGGUGAUCUU